Molecule: ribosomal RNA, 502 nt
Filed under: uncultured bacterium
Lineage: Bacteria
Description: bacterial SSU rRNA
Rfam family: Bacterial small subunit ribosomal RNA
Source: RNAcentral
AAUCAACGCUGGCGGCGUGCCUAACACAUGCAAGUCGAACGAGAAGGUGACUUCGGUCACUGGAUAGUGGCGUCCGGGUGAGUAACACGUAGGUAAUCUACCUUCGGGUGGGGAAUAACGUCUCGAAAGAGACGCUAAUACCGCAUAAUGCAGCGGCACCUAAUGGUGAUUAGUUGUUAAAGCGGGGGAUCUUCGGACCUCGCGCCUGAAGAGGAGCCUGCGGCAGAUUAGCUAGUUGGUGAGGUAAUGGCUCACCAAGGCUUCGAUCUGUAGCUGGUCUGAGAGGACGGCCAGCCACACUGGCACUGACACACGGGCCAGACUCCUACGGGAGGCAGCAGUGGGAAUUUUGGGCAAUGGGCGAAAGCCUGACCCAGCAACGCCGCGUGAAGGAGGAAAUCCUUCGGGAUGUAAACUUCAUAAGUAAGGGAGAAAGCUGCGGAUCGAAUAGUCCGCAGUCCGGCGGUACCUUACGUAAGCCACGGCUAACUACGUGCCAGCC